This is a long non-coding RNA of Pseudopipra pipra, 697 nucleotides long. RefSeq lists it as uncharacterized. The record is from RefSeq and is a predicted model, not a curated record. The transcript has 2 exons. Lineage: Eukaryota; Metazoa; Chordata; Aves; Passeriformes; Pipridae.
AACAAUACUGACAGGGGGACAUCUUCUGCCUUAGUGGCCAAGGCAGCUUUAGGAAGAUCCAAAAUCAAAGUAAGGAGCAAGACAGGCCGGAGCUUGUCUGGAACAUAAGAUGGGGGAAAUGUCACUUAAUUAGGAAAGAAGCUGGUAACUGGGCUAAAUGCCUCCUUCUUACUCCACCAACCACAUCAUAGAACAAGCUACAGCAGAGAAGCUUUAGGAGCUCCUUUCCUUUCCACUUCGUGAUGCAAGGCAUUCUCAGAGCAGUUAGCAGUCACUCAAGCUGGAUGGUUAUUCACCGAUCUUGGAGGACACCGACAAGGAGUCAAGCACACAGUCUACAUCCUGAGCAGCAACACUCCUGAAAGCACCUCCCACGGAGACUGUGGCCAUAGAGGAUAAAAAGUUCUAGAACAGAAGAAUUUUGCAGCACAAUCUAAUAUAAUGUUGAUAAAAAUUCUGAAAGAGCACAACUCCAUGGGAGCUUUAAGGCAAUCUUCAGGACAAAGAAAAUUGUGGCUGUGCAUCCCAGCACGUGAGUGAGUUUAUCAAAUACAAGGCAGCAGCCAGAACAACAGGAAAUUGCAUGAGAAAGCCCAGCUCCUGGUUGGCAGAAGGGCGUUAACCUCUCCUUCAUGUCACUGAGUUUAAUACUCCAAUUUUGCAGUAAAAGCGUCUUCCCCGAGCCCGGGUUCAUAAA